AUUUACUGAAUAUUGGUGUUUUUAAGAAUGAAUUUAAAAUCACUCAAUCCCUCCUGGCUCUUCACAGUUUUUAUGAAUGGAGGAGGGUGUUAGGUUUGUGUAUUCUGAUAAUCUAACAAAGAGUUGUUCUUGUUUUGGUAGGCUGCAGCCAAAUGUGAUAGCAUGACGAUGACUCCUGGCCCGUGGCUGGGUUUGCCAGCUGUUCCUGCGGUGACACUGUAUAAACACGACCCUGCCUUGACUUUAGUUGCUGGUCUUAUAUCAAAUAAGCCCACAGACAAACUCCGUGCCCUGCCUCUGUGGUUAUCUUUACAAUACUUGGGACUUGAUGGGUUUGUGGAGAGGAUCAAGCAUGCCUGUCAACUGAGUCAAUGGUUGCAGGAAAGUUUGAAGAAAGUGAAUUACAUCAAAAUCUUGGUAUGGUAUAUAAUUUCAUCUGUUUUCAAAAUACAACUUUUUUUGAACUUCAGCAACUUAGAAUGAUUUUAGAACUUUAGAAUGAUUUUCUCCACAUUUCAGUGGAAUUGUGGCAGCUCCAGUAAAAAAC
This 547-nucleotide long non-coding RNA is filed under the name Homo sapiens (human). Its description in RNAcentral is "non-protein coding lnc-EXOSC6-3:25". The record is from RNAcentral. Lineage: Eukaryota; Metazoa; Chordata; Mammalia; Primates; Hominidae.